RNAcentral lists this ribosomal RNA (451 nucleotides) under uncultured bacterium. Its description in RNAcentral is "partial 16S ribosomal RNA". It matches the Rfam family "Bacterial small subunit ribosomal RNA", at positions 29 to 523 of the family's 1533-position model. The record is from RNAcentral.
AGCGAACGCUGGCGGCAGGCUUAACACAUGCAAGUCGAGCGGGCAUAGCAAUAUGUCAGCGGCAGACGGGUGAGUAACGCGUGGGAACGUACCUUCUGGUUCGGAACAACUGAGGGAAACUUCAGCUAAUACCGGAUAAGCCCUUACGGGGAAAGAUUUUUCGCCGAAAGAUCGGCCCGCGUCUGAUUAGGUAGUUGGGGAGGUAAUGGCUCACCAAGGCGACGAUCAGUAGCUGGACUGAGAGGAACAUCAGCCACAUUGGGACUGAGACACGGCCCAAACUCCUACGGGAGACAGCCGUGGGGAGUAUUGGGCAAUGGACGCAAGCCUGAUCCAACCAUGCGGAGUGAGUGAUGAAGGCCCUAGGGUUGUAAAACUCUUUUGUGCGGGAAGAUAAUGACGUUACCGCAAGAAUAAGCCCCGGCUAACUUCGUGCCAGCCGCCGCCGUAA